GUUGGUUAGAGAAAUCAUCACUUGAGUUAACAUUUUCUUACAUGCCUGAUGUGGUGAUGCCACAAACUUGUGGAAUUUAUCUUCUUGUCAGUCUAUUUACAUGGUGCAAUUUGACGACUUCCCUCCAUUCGAUGCUGACCAGCUUCCUCGUUUUACAUACCAUGUAAGUUGAAUGCAGAUGUUAAAUUGGUCUUGAGAAUGCCUUUCUUUUGUAAUUCCAAAAUUUUGGGAAGUAAUCAAUGGUCUCUAGUGGAAAUAUAACGGUGACACACGAGUAUUAUUCUGCGGCAGUGUACAUAUAUAAGCUGGUCAAGGCACUUUGUGUAAGAAAAGUGCUUAGAAAAUUGUCCCUGUUUUGUAUGUUGAGGGUAAUGAUCUUGUGAGUAUUUUGUCUUUGCAUUCCUUUUAUGUCCUUUUGUUUUCGUGUGAGAUUGUAUGAGCACAUUUCAUGAGCAUCAAUUUAAAACGAAUGGAUGUUUGUUUAGCUGCAAAAAAAA
This 497-nucleotide unclassified non-coding RNA is filed under the name Hevea brasiliensis (rubber tree). Lineage: Eukaryota; Viridiplantae; Streptophyta; Magnoliopsida; Malpighiales; Euphorbiaceae. The record is from RNAcentral.